This 497-nucleotide ribosomal RNA is filed under the name uncultured bacterium. RNAcentral describes it as "partial 16S ribosomal RNA". It matches the Rfam family "Bacterial small subunit ribosomal RNA", at positions 28 to 507 of the family's 1533-position model. The record is from RNAcentral.
GAUGAACGCUGGCGGCGUGCCUAAUACAUGCGAGUCGAGCGAACAGAUGAGGAGCUUGCUCCUCUGACGUUAGCGGCGGACGGGUGAGUAACACGUGGAUAACCUACCUAUAAGACUGGGAUAACUUCGGGAAACCGGAGCUAAUACCGGAUAAUAUAUUGAACCGCAUGGUUCAAUAGUGAAAGACGGUUUUGCUGUCACUUAUAGAUGGAUCCGCGCCGCAUUAGCUAGUUGGUAAGGUAACGGCUUACCAAGGCAACGAUGCGUAGCCGACCUGAGAGGGUGAUCGGCCACACUGGAACUGAGACACGGUCCAGACUCCUACGGGAGGCAGCAGUAGGGAAUCUUCCGCAAUGGGCGAAAGCCUGACGGAGCAACGCCGCGUGAGUGAUGAAGGUCUUCGGAUCGUAAAAUUCUGUUAUUAGGGAAGAACAAAUGUGUAAGUAACUAUGCACGUCUUGACGGUACCUAAUCAGAAAGCCACGGCUAACUACGUG